RNAcentral lists this long non-coding RNA (1270 nucleotides) under Parus major (Great Tit). RNAcentral describes it as "lncRNA (ENSPMJG00000003521.1)". Lineage: Eukaryota; Metazoa; Chordata; Aves; Passeriformes; Paridae. The record is from RNAcentral.
AUGGGAGCACCACUGCUCCUCUUAGCCCUGACCCUAUUCCCAGUUGCAGCUGCAGAAAGCCUGGAACCUCACUACAUGGUGGUGUUCCCUGCUAUCAUUCAGCAGUCCCACGAGGAGAAGCUCUACAUUCACCUCAGCUCCCUAACUGAGGCUGUCCAUCUGGCCAUCACCUUGCAGACAGAAACCCAGAAUCACACCCUGGUGGAGCAGGAUGUGGAGAAGCCAGGCACUUUUCAGAGUAUCACCUUCCAGGUGCCAGACCUCAUGUUAAUCCCCAUGAAAAGAGAUUAUUCCGGGACACAGUCAGAGGAGGUGGCUUUUCUGCAUGUCCUUAUCCACAGUGGAGACAAUGUGCUCCUUGAGGGUCACAAGAAAGUUCUGGUUAAGCCCCAGAAGAAUAUAAUUCUGAUAGAGACAGACAAGGGCUUAUACAAACCUGGAGAAACAGGUAAGGCAAGAAGCUGACAUAUGGAAAUGGGGAGGGAAGGGUCAAGACAGCAGCCACACCUGGAGGGAAGAUUUCACCAAGUGCAGCAAGCUAAGGUUGUUGGGGAUGGAAGGAAGCAAAUCUCUAUUAUCCAGUGUUUCUAGGAACAGUCUGAGCCAGAAUGUUCCCCUCCAAGGUGUGCUACACCAAGUUCCCAGCCUGCUGCCCCUGGGUGCUGUUUUGGUGUCAUAUCUCUAGUGAGACCUAAAGAGAAAGCCAGGACUCUGCAGGACAAUGGACAGCCUUGAAGGCUGUUGUUCAUAUUUGAGUAAAAGCUAGAGUGUCAGUUCCAAGCUGUAGAAUUAUAGAGUCCUCACAAUCUUCACCAUAUGAGUGGACUGCAGACAGACCUCACUAUAGACAACCCCAGUGUUUAACUUUGUAACCUGUCUAGGUAAAGGCACUGUGUUUCUGCAGCACACAGCUGUUUAUAGGCCUCCCUGGGGUGAGAGAUGCUGGGGAGGGCUGUUUGGGAAAAGACCUGAGUACCUCUGAGGUAAACAGAGAGGCAUGAAUACUGGGGCAUAGGAAAGAAGAAGCAUGUUUGUGCAAGGACAUGUUGCAGCCAGACUGCUUUACUAUGUUUUUCUUUUUAUCUACAGUGAAAUUUCGAAUUGUGAACCUUGAUGAGAACCUUAAGGUCAUCAAAAAUGAGGUGAGUGUCACCUUGUGCCUUUCUAGAAGUAGGAGCUUCAGUGUGAGAUACAUUGAGAGUCUGAUGAGAAAGAUAUCUCCCUUCAUGCCUGCUAAACCAUAAGAAUAAAUUAUCUUAGGAGGAAACCA